Molecule: ribosomal RNA, 1722 nt
Filed under: Rachycentron canadum (cobia)
Lineage: Eukaryota; Metazoa; Chordata; Actinopteri; Carangiformes; Rachycentridae
Description: 16S ribosomal RNA
Rfam family: Bacterial large subunit ribosomal RNA
Source: RNAcentral
CGCCAAAUAGCUAGCCCUAACCCCAACCCCAACAAUACACAAUUUAUAACCCCUAAUACACCACAAACACCAAAUCAAAUCAUUUUAUUUUCCCCAGUAUAGGCGAUAGAAAAGGAACCUUAGAGCUACAGAAAAAGUACCGCAAGGGAACGCUGAAAGAGAGAUGAAAAGACCAGUAAAGCCUAAAAAAGCAGAGAUUUCUCCUCGUACCUUUUGCAUCAUGAUUUAGCCAGUACCGUUAAGCAAAGAGCCCUUUAGUUUAACACCCCGAAACUAGCGUGAGCUACUCCAAGACAGCCUAUUACAGGGCAAACCCGUCUCUGUUGCAAAAGAGUGGGAAGAGCUUCGAGUAGAGGUGACAGACCUAUCGAACCUAGUUAUAGCUGGUUGCCUGUGAAACGGAUAAAAGUUCAGCCUCCUGGCUUCUCAAUUCAUCUCAAAACAAAUGACUCAACGAUAUUUAAAGAAACCAAGAGAGUUAAUCAAAGGGGGGACAGCUCCUUUGAUACAAGACACAACUUUUUUAAGAGGGUAAAGAUCAUAUUUUUAAAGGUAAAAUGUCUCAGUGGGCCUAAGAGCAGCCACCCAAAAGAAAGCGUUAAAGCUCAGACUUAAUAAAUACAACCAUAUAUCCUGAUAUCAGAAUCUUAUCCCCCUAGCCAUUAACAGGCCGUUCCAUGCCAACAUGGAAGUGAUAAUGCUAAAAUGAGUAAUAAGAGAGUCCAGACUCUCUCCAAGCACACGUGUACAUCGGAAAGGACCAACCACCGAAAAUUAACGUCCCCAAAAAAAGAGGGCAUUGGAUCUUCUAGCAAACUACAAGAAAAUAAUCCACAAUAACACCGUUAACCCUACACAGGUGUGCAUUUAAGGAAAGACUAAAAGAAAGAGAAGGAACUCGGCAAAGAUAAGCCUCGCCUGUUUACCAAAAACAUCGCCUCUUGCAAAAUUAAAGAAUAAGAGGUCUUACCUGCCCAGUGACACUCGUUUAACGGCCGCGGUAUCCUAACCGUGCAAAGGUAGCGUAAUCAUUUGUCUUUUAAAUAGGGACUAGUAUGAAUGGUGUGACGAGGGCUUAACUGUCUCCUCUCUCCGGUCAAUGAAAUUGAUCUCCCCGUGCAGAAGCGGGGAUAAGCUCAUAAGACGAGAAGACCCUAUGGAGCUUUAGAUACUAAGGUAGACUAGAUUAAAUUACUUCACAACAAAGAACUAAAAUCAUCACCACCCUACCCCUAUAUCUUCGGUUGGGGCGACAAUGGGGAACAAAAAUCCCCCAUGCGGAACGGGAGCAAAACCCUGAAAUAUCACUUUCACUAUCAAACUUCCUCCUCAAAUUAAGAGUGACAACUCUAAGUUACAGUACUUCUGACCACAAAUGAUCCGGCAAUGCCGAUUAACGAACCAAGUUACCCUAGGGAUAACAGCGCAAUCCCCUUUUAGAGCCCGCAUCAACAAGGGGGUUUACGACCUCGAUGUUGGAUCAGGACAUCCUAAUGGUGAAACCGCUAUUAAGGGUUCGUUUGUUCAACGAUUAAAGUCCUACGUGAUCUGAGUUCAGACCGGAGUAAUCCAGGUCAGUUUCUAUCUAUGUAAUAAACUUUUCCAGUACGAAAGGACCGAGAAGAAGAGGCCCAUGCUUACGAUACGCCUCCUCCUUAACUAAUGAAGACAUCUAAAUAAGAUAAAAGGAUAUAAAAUUAAAUUAUGGCCUUAAAGAAAGGC